UUAAAGUGUUCUACCAUAUUGAAAGACAAAUGAGAAGCAAAGAGGAAAUCAGGAAAGGAUUUCUUGGUCAGUUUGGUGUUUGAGCUGUUAAUGGUGUUGUCUGGUGUGGAUCUUGCAGUCAUUUUCCAUCUGAGAGAUUCCCUGAAAUGGAACUCGUGCAAACUUGCAGUUGGACAUCAUACUUCUACGUCUUAUGGUUGUGUUGAUGUAGUGUUGCACUAAUGUGCAAGAGUCGAUGCAGUCUGAUGAAUAUCGAAAAUUAUUAUUUCGGCUGCAUUUUGUCGAUCUGUCGUCUCUUGCUACCUGUACGCACGCUGAGUUCAAUCGUUCGCCACCACUCUUCAGACUAGAUCCAUCGGUGAAACGGAGGAGAGGCUGCUGAGAUUCAAGACUGAUAAAUCAUUUAGAUUAAGACAAAUUACAAAAGCAUAUCUAUUCUCCCUGUUCCCUAAGUAAAUAGUGUGUCAGCUGUUAGUUACUCGUGUGAAAACUAGGAGUGUUCUUAUCGAAAGGAAAGUUGCAGAGUCUUUUUCGCAUAAAAUGGCGGUGACCAUUGGGGAAUUUUUUUUGUAUCUCGUGCAGAAACACUUCAGAGCUAGUAAAGUAAUUUUGUUGAUAAGUUUCCCUGCAAUAAUGCAACAGGUUUUAUUAGUUGAUGUUUAGGUCAGAGACAGAGAUCCCUUUGCUUAACUGUUGCAGAAAUUGAGAACAUAACAAAGUCUGAGCUUCAUGUAUGCCUUAUAUGGCUGCCGUAUCAUUAAUAUGGUUUUGUUGCAGUCAGUUGGUGAAAGGUGUGAUCGGGCGUCAAGUUGAGCUGCAGCUGUUGCAUGCAGUUUAUCAAGUUGGUGUUAUCUGAAUUCUGAAGUGUCACUGCAGGAAGACUUCUUGAAUUGUUGAAUCGUUUGCUGCCGUUCCAUGGACUUGAUCCAUUGGUAACACUGACUGAGGAGAAUUUGCUGAAAUUCAAGACUCGUCAAUAAAUUAUGUAGAUGCUGUAGAUAAAUUACAAGUACAUAUCUGGGCUCCGUUCUUCAGUGGCCCAGUUUCCCUAAAUAACCACUAAGGCACUAACCAACGCCCGCCGAUGGCCACUCACUCGCUGCCACAACCAGGAGGAAGGGAGAUGUCUGGUCGAACGGGGACUUGCGAGGCGCAUGAUUCGAUGAAAUCUGUUGGAGGGUCAUGAGUCUAAGCCGGAAGCCUACUAAUAUGAUGAUGCAUUGCUUUCAUAAUAACUGCUUCUUCGCUCUUUUUCCGGUUUCUCUUAACCACAGCCGGGUAAUCCUCCCUGGUAGAGUCAGUCGGGCAGUGUCUCCCCCUGCUUGACUGGCUGCAGUUUUUACCGGACGGUUUGUUUAAUAAAUAAAACAAGUAUAAAAAACCA
This 1384-nucleotide long non-coding RNA is filed under the name Daphnia pulex (common water flea). RNAcentral describes it as "uncharacterized LOC124208940, transcript variant X3". The record is from RNAcentral. Lineage: Eukaryota; Metazoa; Arthropoda; Branchiopoda; Diplostraca; Daphniidae.